Molecule: ribosomal RNA, 461 nt
Filed under: uncultured bacterium
Lineage: Bacteria
Description: partial 16S ribosomal RNA
Rfam family: Bacterial small subunit ribosomal RNA
Source: RNAcentral
CCUACGGGCGGCAGCAGUGAGGAAUAUUGGUCAAUGGGCGCGAGCCUGAACCAGCCAAGUCGCGUGAGGGAAGACGGCCCUACGGGUUGUAAACCUCUUUUGCCGGGGAGCAACGGGCGCCACGUGUGGCGCCACUGAGAGUACCCGGAGAAAAAGCAUCGGCUAACUCCGUGCCAGCAGCCGCGGUAAUAAGGAGGAUGCGAGCGUUAUUCGGAUUUAUUGGGUUUAAAGGGUGCGUAGGCGGAUCGUUAAGUCAGUGGUCAAAGUGAGGGGCUCAACCCCUUCCCGCCAUUGAAACUGGCGCUCUUGGGUGGAAGAGAAGUAUGCGGAAUGCGUGGUGUAGCGGUGAAAAGCAUAGAUAGCACGCAGAACCCCGAUUGCGAAGGCAGCAUGCCGGCUUCCUACUGACGCUGAAGCACGAAAGCGUGGGGAUCGAACAGGAUUAGAUACCCCUGGUAGUC